RNAcentral lists this ribosomal RNA (404 nucleotides) under Bacillota bacterium. RNAcentral describes it as "Firmicutes bacterium partial 16S ribosomal RNA". It matches the Rfam family "Bacterial small subunit ribosomal RNA", at positions 355 to 776 of the family's 1533-position model. The record is from RNAcentral. Lineage: Bacteria; Bacillati; Bacillota.
UGGGGAAUAUUGGACAAUGGGCGCAAGCCUGAUCCAGCCAUGCCGCGUGAGUGAUGACGGCCUUAGGGUUGUAAAGCUCUUUCGUCCGGGACGAUAAUGACGGUACCGGAAGAAGAAGCCCCGGCUAACUUCGUGCCAGCAGCCGCGGUAAUACGAAGGGGGCUAGCGUUGUUCGGAAUCACUGGGCGUAAAGGGCGCGUAGGCGGCUUUGUAAGUCGGGGGUGAAAGCCUGUGGCUCAACCACAGAAUUGCCUUCGAUACUGCGAGGCUUGAGACCGGAAGAGGUUAGUGGAACUGCGAGUGUAGAGGUGAAAUUCGUAGAUAUUCGCAAGAACACCAGUGGCGAAGGCGGCUGACUGGUCCGGUUCUGACGCUGAGGCGCGAAAGCGUGGGGAGCAAACAGG